RNAcentral lists this long non-coding RNA (486 nucleotides) under Canis lupus familiaris (dog). Its description in RNAcentral is "lncRNA (ENSCAFG00000057293.1)". The record is from RNAcentral. Lineage: Eukaryota; Metazoa; Chordata; Mammalia; Carnivora; Canidae.
GCAAUGUGCUAUGGGACACCAGAGGUGUCUGCCACCAAAUCAGAAGGGGAAACUACGCUGGAAUUGGAAUACAACUCUAAUGUCUCCUUAUAAUAGCAGCGAUGAGGUGGGGCAUGGCCAUUCUGUGGACCAGGAAGAGCCAUCAUCACUACAUCUGCCACUAUCCACAUCCUUCACCUUGAAGGAUGCCUCAUCUUGAAAGAUUCACUGUAGCAUCUUUGGAUCCAGCAACAGAAUCUGUGACCUUCUUCACCCCAAGUGCCUCAAGUAAAUUUACUUCUGCUAGAAGCUUAGAUCCUGCCAUUCUUCUUAACUGUGCAGCUCACAUAUGCAAGCACAUGAGCAGAUGGCCCAUAUACCUACACAGGUUUCGGCCCAUCACCUCUUUCUUUCUCUUCUCUAAGUAUGGACUACCCAGUGCUUCAUCCAAGGUACUGGCUUUUCAUUUUCUACUUUUCCUUUUUAAAUCGUGUGUGUUUAUUCUUC